GGUUAAGCGACUAAGCGUACACGGUGGAUGCCCUGGCAGUCAGAGGCGAUGAAGGACGUGCUAAUCUGCGAUAAGCGUCGGUAAGGUGAUAUGAACCGUUAUAACCGGCGAUUUCCGAAUGGGGAAACCCAGUGUGAUUCGUCACACUAUCAUUAACUGAAUCCAUAGGUUAAUGAGGCGAACCGGGGGAACUGAAACAUCUAAGUACCCCGAGGAAAAGAAAUCAACCGAGAUUCCCCCAGUAGCGGCGAGCGAACGGGGAGGAGCCCAGAGCCUGAAUCAGUGUGUGUGUUAGUGGAAGCGUCUGGAAAGGCGCGCGAUACAGGGUGACAGCCCCGUACACAAAAAUGCACAUGCUGUGAGCUCGAUGAGUAGGGCGGGACACGUGGUAUCCUGUCUGAAUAUGGGGGGACCAUCCUCCAAGGCUAAAUACUCCUGACUGACCGAUAGUGAACCAGUACCGUGAGGGAAAGGCGAAAAGAACCCCGGCGAGGGGAGUGAAAAAGAACCUGAAACCGUGUACGUACAAGCAGUGGGAGCACAGAGCAAUCUGUGUGACUGCGUACCUUUUGUAUAAUGGGUCAGCGACUUAUAUUCUGUAGCAAGGUUAACCGAAUAGGGGAGCCGAAGGGAAACCGAGUCUUAACUGGGCGUUAAGUUGCAGGGUAUAGACCCGAAACCCGGUGAUCUAGCCAUGGGCAGGUUGAAGGUUGGGUAACACUAACUGGAGGACCGAACCGACUAAUGUUGAAAAAUUAGCGGAUGACUUGUGGCUGGGGGUGAAAGGCCAAUCAAACCGGGAGAUAGCUGGUUCUCCCCGAAAGCUAUUUAGGUAGCGCCUCGUGAAUUCAUCUCCGGGGGUAGAGCACUGUUUCGGCAAGGGGGUCAUCCCGACUUACCAACCCGAUGCAAACUGCGAAUACCGGAGAAUGUUAUCACGGGAGACACACGGCGGGUGCUAACGUCCGUCGUGAAGAGGGAAACAACCCAGACCGCCAGCUAAGGUCCCAAAGUCAUGGUUAAGUGGGAAACGAUGUGGGAAGGCCCAGACAGCCAGGAUGUUGGCUUAGAAGCAGCCAUCAUUUAAAGAAAGCGUAAUAGCUCACUGGUCGAGUCGGCCUGCGCGGAAGAUGUAACGGGGCUAAACCAUGCACCGAAGCUGCGGCAGCGACGCUUAUGCGUUGUUGGGUAGGGGAGCGUUCUGUAAGCCUGCGAAGGUGUGCUGUGAGGCAUGCUGGAGGUAUCAGAAGUGCGAAUGCUGACAUAAGUAACGAUAAAGCGGGUGAAAAGCCCGCUCGCCGGAAGACCAAGGGUUCCUGUCCAACGUUAAUCGGGGCAGGGUGAGUCGACCCCUAAGGCGAGGCCGAAAGGCGUAGUCGAUGGGAAACAGGUUAAUAUUCCUGUACUUGGUGUUACUGCGAAGGGGGGACGGAGAAGGCUAUGUUGGCCGGGCGACGGUUGUCCCGGUUUAAGCGUGUAGGCUGGUUUUCCAGGCAAAUCCGGAAAAUCAAGGCUGAGGCGUGAUGACGAGGCACUACGGUGCUGAAGCAACAAAUGCCAUGCUUCCAGGAAAAGCCUCUAAGCAUCAGGUAACAUCAAAUCGUACCCCAAACCGACACAGGUGGUCAGGUAGAGAAUACCAAGGCGCUUGAGAGAACUCGGGUGAAGGAACUAGGCAAAAUGGUGCCGUAACUUCGGGAGAAGGCACGCUGAUAUGUAGGUGAAGCGACUUGCUCGUGGAGCUGAAAUCAGUCGAAGAUACCAGCUGGCUGCAACUGUUUAUUAAAAACACAGCACUGUGCAAACACGAAAGUGGACGUAUACGGUGUGACGCCUGCCCGGUGCCGGAAGGUUAAUUGAUGGGGUCAGCGCAAGCGAAGCUCUUGAUCGAAGCCCCGGUAAACGGCGGCCGUAACUAUAACGGUCCUAAGGUAGCGAAAUUCCUUGUCGGGUAAGUUCCGACCUGCACGAAUGGCGUAAUGAUGGCCAGGCUGUCUCCACCCGAGACUCAGUGAAAUUGAACUCGCUGUGAAGAUGCAGUGUACCCGCGGCAAGACGGAAAGACCCCGUGAACCUUUACUAUAGCUUGACACUGAACAUUGAGCCUUGAUGUGUAGGAUAGGUGGGAGGCUUUGAAGUGUGGACGCCAGUCUGCAUGGAGCCGACCUUGAAAUACCACCCUUUAAUGUUUGAUGUUCUAACGUUGACCCGUAAUCCGGGUUGCGGACAGUGUCUGGUGGGUAGUUUGACUGGGGCGGUCUCCUCCUAAAGAGUAACGGAGGAGCACGAAGGUUGGCUAAUCCUGGUCGGACAUCAGGAGGUUAGUGCAAUGGCAUAAGCCAGCUUGACUGCGAGCGUGACGGCGCGAGCAGGUGCGAAAGCAGGUCAUAGUGAUCCGGUGGUUCUGAAUGGAAGGGCCAUCGCUCAACGGAUAAAAGGUACUCCGGGGAUAACAGGCUGAUACCGCCCAAGAGUUCAUAUCGACGGCGGUGUUUGGCACCUCGAUGUCGGCUCAUCACAUCCUGGGGCUGAAGUAGGUCCCAAGGGUAUGGCUGUUCGCCAUUUAAAGUGGUACGCGAGCUGGGUUUAGAACGUCGUGAGACAGUUCGGUCCCUAUCUGCCGUGGGCGCUGGAGAACUGAGGGGGGCUGCUCCUAGUACGAGAGGACCGGAGUGGACGCAUCACUGGUGUUCGGGUUGUCAUGCCAAUGGCACUGCCCGGUAGCUAAAUGCGGAAGAGAUAAGUGCUGAAAGCAUCUAAGCACGAAACUUGCCCCGAGAUGAGUUCUCCCUGACUCCUUGAGAGUCCUGAAGGAACGUUGAAGACGACGACGUUGAU
This 2838-nucleotide ribosomal RNA is filed under the name Escherichia coli. Its description in RNAcentral is "partial 23S ribosomal RNA". It matches the Rfam family "Bacterial large subunit ribosomal RNA". The record is from RNAcentral. Lineage: Bacteria; Pseudomonadati; Pseudomonadota; Gammaproteobacteria; Enterobacterales; Enterobacteriaceae.